Molecule: small nuclear RNA, 341 nt
Filed under: Chinchilla lanigera (long-tailed chinchilla)
Lineage: Eukaryota; Metazoa; Chordata; Mammalia; Rodentia; Chinchillidae
Description: 7SK RNA (ENSCLAG00000021652.1)
Rfam family: 7SK RNA
About the family: 7SK was discovered as an abundant small nuclear RNA in the mid-70s but a possible function has only recently been suggested. Two independent studies have found that 7SK RNA binds the CDK9/cyclin T complex (known as elongation factor P-TEFb). P-TEFb activates transcription by phosphorylating the C-terminal domain of RNA polymerase II.
Source: RNAcentral
GGAUGUGAGGGUGAUCUGGCUACGACAUCUGUCACCCUAUUGAUCGCCAGGGUUGAUCUGGCCGAUCUGGCUGGCUAGGCAGGUAGGCGUCCCUUUCCUCCCUCAACACUCCACCUGCGUCCCUCCCGAAGCUGCGCGCUCGGUCGAAGAGGACGACCACCCCCGAUAGAGGGGUACCGUUCCUUGGUCAAGGGUAUACGAGUAGCCGUGCUCCCCUGCUAGAACCUCCAAACAAGCUCUCAAAAAGACAAAAAAAAAAAUUAAUUAACUAAUUCAAGGCCAGCCUGAACUAUACAGUGAGACCUUAUCUCAAAAAAACAAAAAAAAGCAGCUGGGGAUUU